Molecule: non-coding RNA, 2645 nt
Organism: Struthio camelus australis
Lineage: Eukaryota; Metazoa; Chordata; Aves; Struthioniformes; Struthionidae
Source: RefSeq, a predicted model, not a curated record
AAAGCCAUCCAGCGCCCAUGGGAGUCUGUGCAGGUCUUCCUUGAAACCAAGGACCUAAGCAGAGGCUCUGUUCCACAGUCAUCUCUGCGUGUUUUUGUAAGCGUGACCUUGGGACCAGCUUACAGCCAGACGACCCGAGGGCCUGCGUGGGGUGAGAUGUCCUGUCCCUCUGGCUGCGGAGUUGCAGCGUUACAGACCUUUCUUUGGAGAUUUGGGGGCAGAGAGACUUUUUGGAUGCAAUUCUUGGUUUCGUUAGCUGCUUGCCGCACUGCCCGCCAGCAGUGCAGGGUAAGCUCACGUACGCGUUUCUCUGGGGUGACUCAGCCCCUCGUAGUCCUUUACGCAGAGCACUGAGCAACGGUUGCAUGCAGCUCUCACAAGACUAACUUUAUGAAAGAUGCUUAUCCUGACGCAGAAGGCGCGUGAAGAACUAGAAACAGGCUCCCGUGAAAGAAAGAAGACAACAGGAUGUAUCAGAGUAGCAAGAGGAGCAGCAGGUGGAACGUAUGUAUCACAUAUGGCAAGGCACUACUUGGUGAGUGAUAGGUUUCAUAUUAAAAUAGAUAAAUCAUCCACUUGGAAGAAAAUUGCGCUCUCUGGGAAAGUAGCUUAGCUAAUGCAUCUGACGUGUUGCCCGUUAAACCAGAUAUGUUAAUUUCUGAAACCUGAUAAACAUUGCUUAUUUUUUUUGUAAUUCUUCUGGGAUAAAAUUCAGAACUGGAUAAAUCAUUCAUAGGAUCUGACAACACACCGUACGUUUUACUGGCGUGGUAGUCUCAUACCAGCGUUGCACUGUACUGAAUAGUCCCUACUUAACCAGCGUAUCUAUUGAUUGAUAUAUAGUCCCGUUACAGUAAAUAUGUAUCAUAAAUUAGACAAUAUAACCAUAAUAAACAUGCUCUAUCCAGUAUGUGACAUACUACAUCAAGAUUAGCAAUUACUAAUUGAUAUUAUAUCCCCCAGUACAGCGUUAUCUAAAUCAAAGGCAUUUUCUGUACAACCCGUGCAUCAUUCGAAAGAUUAAUCCUCCGGCAACUGUAAACAUUUUUCUACUACGUUCGUUUGGCUAAGCUGGAUGAUGGUAAUAGCCUUGAGGUUAAGUACACCGCACGGUAUGUUAGAGCUGAUACAGUGUGGUUAUGGCCACGUAUGUCCUUAGCGCUGAUUGUAUUGCGCCAGCUACAGAAUCGCCGGGAUAGCGCGCUGCUCACGCUGUAUCGUGGGAGUCUUUCCCGGUUCUCGCGACCGAGUGGAGGUUAUGCGUACAGCACUCUUGACUGUCUCUUACUCUGUGCGUUGGGACAACACAGAUAUAAAAAUUAAAGAAUGCUUAAUUCUUAAAGACUCAAAUGUCGUAAGUGAGAAUAAUUGCUUUGAAUGAAAAAAGAAAUGCCCAUUUGAAAGUAUUAUCAGUGACUCGCAUGCUCCCCAACCCUCUAGUGCUUUUCUUUCCCUUGCUUCCCGCUUGAAACUGAACUCUGUGCGCAAGUCGGAGCCUUGAGAGGGGCAUUAUGAAAUGGCUUUUGUUAGCACUCUCCAGCAUCUCAGAGCACGGCCAGAACCAUAAGGGGGAAGGACAGCACCGACCUAACCACCUUGCAUCGACCCAGCAACCUCGCCCAGAUGAUAUCCAGACGGAGUGGGGGAAUCCUGCCAGAGGGACUGAUCCAGUGCGUCUUGAGACGAAUGCCUUUUAAUAAAUGAUUUUCAGGUGUCUUUCUGUAGGGAUCAGCAGCAGCCCAUCAACGAGGAUUUCUGAGGAGCUACGUGUCCUAGAGCGUGCAACGGGGAGAGAUGCUGAUGGCUGCGGAGUCAGGAAAGGAUUAGGAUCUCCAGAAAGAAGAAGUCGGUGGAAAUACAGUUCACUCAAGCAAACAGCAGGCUGAGAACCAUCCAUAUGCUUUCCUGUACCAUCUGAGAAGAUAAAUUUAAGAGAGCACAGUCUGUGGCCGUGCUUGAGUUGGAUACGUUGUGGCACACCAGAAUAAGUACUUUGCUGGUUGUAAAACCUAAUGGAAGGAGCAAGACAUUCCUGCACUUUCUGCCCUCGAUUCUUGGCAGUGUGGAUUACAAAAUCCUGUUGACUAAAGAACGUGGAUUAGAAAGAAUGAGCUAACGAUAUGUACAGUUACUGGUUUUAUAGCCGCCUUAGUAUGCCUGAUGCUUCACACUGAUUUGACAUUGCCUCUGCCCUGAGGAGCUUGAAAUCUGAAGGCGAAACCCUGAGACCAUCUGAAAUCUGACCAUUUCACGGAAGGCUCUGAAAAAAGGAUUCGUGAGACUGAGCAAAAGAGAUUGCGUUUGACAUGUCAUCCUAGGGAGCAGGCAGGGAGUCAGCAGUAAACAACUGGAGAGGAGGAGGAAAAUAGCGGAAGAGCCCUAGUUGUUGCCAGCUUGAUUCCAGCCUCGUUCACCCAGCUAGACUUUGCCGGCGGAGGUAUUUCUGAUGUGACCCUGCUCUAAGGAGAACACCUCUCAGGCUUUUAAGCAACUGAGCCGCUACCUGAGUGGUUUCAACUCCUUGGUCCUUUGGCCUCGUUCAGUAUGUCUGAGAGUGGCGGUCCCAGAAGGAGCGGGUCGUGUCCCCGUCACUGCGCGCGGGCCACGAGGCGCCGGCCGGGCUGCUUGGGCGUUUGUGGGGCACG